This 96-nucleotide non-coding RNA is filed under the name unclassified sequences. The record is from Rfam.
GGCUCGGGCGCGGACCGGUGGGACGGUCCGCAGGAAUGGAGCCUACUAUUUCCGUUUCGCUUGCGGCAGCGCGGCCGAGGCCCGAAGGCACGCGCG